Eriocheir sinensis (Chinese mitten crab) is the source of this 1765-nucleotide long non-coding RNA. RefSeq lists it as uncharacterized. Lineage: Eukaryota; Metazoa; Arthropoda; Malacostraca; Decapoda; Varunidae. The transcript has 3 exons. The record is from RefSeq and is a predicted model, not a curated record.
UUGCAAGGUUAUCUAUUUCAAGCUUACCUAUUACAAGCUUUUUUGGGGAGGUUCAGGUGAUGGGUCAGUAAUAUUCCAGAAUCACACCCAAGCUUACCCAUGUCAAGUUUACCUGUUUCAAGCUUUUUGUGGCUGAGGUGACAGCUUGGUAAUAUUCCAGAAUCGGCAAAACUUAAGAAUAACCACUCCUAACCAAUAUUUGUAGUAAUUUAGCACGUGAAAGAAUUAUCUUUAUAAUGCAUUUUUGUAUACGUUUUACCUUGGGGAGGGGCCAGGGGGGCAAGCCUCUUUAAUUAUAGAGUUAGGUGGCUUGGAUUUUCUAAGUCCAUUGUUAUUGUUUCACAACCGCCUCUAUACACAGACUGAGCCUCAUACCUGCCUUGCAGUGCACCCUACAAACUAGUUCCUAAGUCAGUAAUAUCCAAAAUGCGCAUGGAUUAUAACUAUUUCGGACAAAAAAACGGUCUUUUAAGAGUUUUAUGUUAUUUUUUUCUCUAUAUUAAAGCAACUAAUGCCGCAGCUAUUUGUAUUUUCUAAUACAUUCGUAAAAUAUUACUACGCGAGGGUAUCAGCGGCGGCACCUAACGGCGGGUUCCUGAAGUCAGUUGUUUUCAAGCCGCCAUAAUGGAUGGAAGGCCCGACACUCACUCCCUCAAAAUAUCAGUCUACUUUACCUUUCGACCUGGCGGCUGUCAAGUUUUACCUUCCUGAGCUGCCGGUGUUGGUAGUGCCCAGGCUGGAACACUCCCCGCCCAGGGCUACGACAACCUGAGAAGGCACAGCAAGACUCUGCCCCUGGCUUAUAAGAGUGAGUGGCUGGUGCUGUCUGGCCGCUCUCAUCUCAGCAAGGGACUGGAGGAUGGAACUCUCUCUCUCUCUCCUGCAUCCACACAGUAGUCGGUUCAGUGAAGUUUGCAAUGUUACUUUCUUCCUUCCCUUCCCUUUCUACAUGACAGCCACACACACACGUCUGGUUAAUAUAGAAGAGCAGUGGUUAUACUCAUUCAACAGCCUUGUCCAGCACAUACACAGAAUUAACUCAUACCAAUACAGUACUCAUGAUUUCCAAAACAAGAAUACCUAGAGUUGACGCUGUUUGUUGUUGUUGGCGGCGGUCAGGUGGGAAGGGAAGGGUUGGAAGGGGAAGUCGGAGAAGAGAAGGAGGAGAGAGAAUACAAUAGCUCACUAGUGGACAGAGGAGAGAGAGAGAGAGGAGGAGGAGGAGGAUGAAAAGAGUCCUACAAUAGCUCACUGGUGGACAGAGGAAAGAGAGAGAGAGAGGAAGAAGAAGAAGAGUAGUAGGUUUAAAUAUAUCCAUUGUAAUAUAUAUUUCCAAACUUUAUUAGUCUUCUCUUUUAUACAAAUACAGAGUGAGAGAGAGAGAGAGUUAGUUCCAUCUCUCUCUCUCUUUCUGUCCUUCCUUGGCUCAAUUAAUCUCCCUCCAUCUUCUCCCCAACAGGACUCGUCUCAGCCUCAUCUCGUCUCCCCAGCAUCCAGGCAGCAUCUUGAAGGACUGACUGGUCUCCUCGGCUCAGUGGUCUCGUCUCUGUCUCCCUCCCUGCAAGAUUCUGGCAGAGUUUAGUGCCAAGAGUGUGUGUGUGUGUGUGUGUGUGUGUGUGUGUGUGUGUGUGUGUGUGUGUGUGUGUGUGUGUCUCUCUCUCUCUCUCUCUCUCUCUCUCUCUCUCUCAGCUCCCAGGCCCCACAGGGUGUCCCCCCACAGUGUGUUGACAACCCCCACAGACACAUGCCCCCAGACACAUAAGAG